This 808-nucleotide ribosomal RNA is filed under the name uncultured marine bacterium. RNAcentral's name for it is "bacterial SSU rRNA". It matches the Rfam family "Bacterial small subunit ribosomal RNA", at positions 57 to 913 of the family's 1533-position model. The record is from RNAcentral.
GCAAGUCGAACGAAGUAGCAAUACUUAGUGGCAGACGGGUGAGUAACAUGUAGGUAUCUGCCCUUUGGCCUGGAAUAACACGAGGAAACUUGUGCUAAUACCGGAUAAGUCUUUACGGAGAAAGCUUUAUGCACCAUUGGAUGAGCCUGCACUUGAUUAGUUUGUUGGUAGGGUAAUGGCCUACCAAGACUGUGAUCAAUAGCUGAUUUGAGAGGAUGAUCAGCCACAUUGGGACUGAGACACGGCCCAAACUCCUACGGGAGGCAGCAGUGGGGAAUCUUGCACAAUGGAGGAAACUCUGAUGCAGCGAUGCCGCGUGAGUGAAGAAGGCCCUUGGGUUGUAAAGCUCUUUCGUCGGGGAAGAAAAUGACUGUACCCGAAUAAGAAGGUCCGGCUAACUUCGUGCCAGCAGCCGCGGUAAUACGAAGGGACCUAGCGUAGUUCGGAAUUACUGGGCUUAAAGAGUUCGUAGGUGGUUGAAAAAGUUGGUGGUGAAAUCCCAGAGCUUAACUCUGGAACUGCCAUCAAAACUUUUCAGCUAGAGUAUGAUAGAGGAAAGUAGAAUUUCUAGUGUAGAGGUGAAAUUCGUAGAUAUUAGAAAGAAUACCGAUUGCGAAGGCAGCUUUCUGGAUCAUUACUGACACUGAGGAACGAAAGCAUGGGUAGCGAAGAGGAUUAGAUACCCUCGUAGUCCAUGCCGUAAACGAUGUGUGUUAGACGUUGGAAAUUUAUUUUCAGUGUCGCAGCGAAAGCGAUAAACACACCGCCUGGGGAGUACGACCGCAAGGUUAAAACUCAAAUGAAUUGA